UCAUGUUCCUCCCUCUGCCGGCCCGCCCUGCUAGCCCGCACUGUUACCGAGUCUCUAUGCCGCGGAUUAUUCCCCGCCCCCUUUCACGUAGGCGGGGAGGGAAGGAGGGCGGCGUUGUCGGUCCCGUCCGGCGAGGAGGUCCGGCCACGGCGGCCAGGCUAGCCGACGGCUUUGGAAUACGCAUCCCUCCUACUUUGCUUUCUGCAUGGUCCCCCGCCGACUCCACGAGCAAGA
RNAcentral lists this long non-coding RNA (234 nucleotides) under Spirodela polyrhiza (greater duckweed). RNAcentral describes it as "long non-coding RNA (SPOL_LNC002070)". The record is from RNAcentral. Lineage: Eukaryota; Viridiplantae; Streptophyta; Magnoliopsida; Alismatales; Araceae.